AGUGAACGCUGGCGGUAGGCCUAACACAUGCAAGUCGAACGGCAGCACAGUAAGAGCUUGCUCUUACGGGUGGCGAGUGGCGGACGGGUGAGGAAUACAUCGGAAUCUACUUUUUCGUGGGGGAUAACGUAGGGAAACUUACGCUAAUACCGCAUACGACCUACGGGUGAAAGCAGGGGAUCUUCGGACCUUGCGCGAUUGAAUGAGCCGAUGUCGGAUUAGCUAGUUGGCGGGGUAAAGGCCCACCAAGGCGACGAUCCGUAGCUGGUCUGAGAGGAUGAUCAGCCACGCUGGAACUGAGACACGGUCCAGACUCCUACGGGAGGCAGCAGUGGGGAAUAUUGGACAAUGGGCGCAAGCCUGAUCCAGCCAUACCGCGUGGGUGGAGAAGGCCUUCGGGUUGUAAAGCCCUUUUGUUGGGAAAGAAAAGCAGCAGGUUAAUACCCCGCUGUUCUGACGGUACCCAAAGAAUAAGCACCGGCUAACUUCGUG
Molecule: ribosomal RNA, 492 nt
Filed under: uncultured bacterium
Lineage: Bacteria
Description: partial 16S ribosomal RNA
Rfam family: Bacterial small subunit ribosomal RNA
Source: RNAcentral